RNAcentral lists this transfer RNA (363 nucleotides) under uncultured Microcystis sp. RNAcentral's name for it is "partial 16S-23S ribosomal RNA intergenic spacer". The stretch from base 135 to 208 matches the Rfam family "tRNA". The record is from RNAcentral. Lineage: Bacteria; Bacillati; Cyanobacteriota; Cyanophyceae; Chroococcales; Microcystaceae.
AAGGGAGACCUAAUUCAGGUAGGAGACGAAAAAAAAGUAGUCGCUACCAAGAAUCAAUCCCAAAAGGUCGGAGCGAGGCGAAAUUGGCUUUCAAACUAGGUUCUGGGUUCACACAAGGCCUGAAUCAGGAACAAGGGCUAUUAGCUCAGGUGGUUAGAGCGCACCCCUGAUAAGGGUGAGGUCCCUGGUUCGAGUCCAGGAUGGCCCACCUGUACAGGUGGCAAAAAGAAAGAAAAGAAGCGAGGAAUCAGCACCUUAUCUUACUGACAUAGUAAGAGAGAAUGCUGGCUCUGAGUAAAGAGUCCAGAGGAACCUUGAAAACUGCAUAGAGCUAGGUGAAAAAGCCAAAAAAGAAGACCGCAA